CUUUGACCCCUCUCUCUCUCAGUUUCUCUGUGCAUCUCUUCCUCGUCGAACACAUUGGAGCUCUGAUUCUUCAUUUCUGAGAGAAACAAAUCUCACCAUAGAUGGAUAACUCUCUCUUCUUCCUAAUUUGUCUAUAGCCUUUUCUUUUUGCCAUAUCUAUAUGCUCUAUGCAGAUCAUAAUGUGACGGUGGCUUUCUCCUAUAUGGUUUUCCCGUUGUCUCUCCCUAAACCUCCAACCUAGCCGCUGUCCCUAGAGCCUCCGACCCCCUCCAUGAUGCCAUUGUCGCGAACGACGAGUUGUGCGUCGCGCCCUUCAUCAAUGGCGGAGUCUCUGGUAUGCUCGCUACCUCUGUCAUCCAACCCAUCGAUACGAUCAAGUGUUGAGAAGGCUGGGAGUGAAGAGCAUGGAGAUAAAGAAACCAGAACAGCUUGAAACCGUGGCCUCACUCAUAAUCCCUGUAGGAGAGAGCACCACCAUGGCUAAGCUCGCCAAGUACCACAACCUGAAUGCAUUUGAGCUCGCCUUUUUCAUUUAGGUUCCAGCCCAAUUCGAAGUAAAAUUGUGCUACCGCGAGCACACCGUUGUCAUUGUUACAAGAGUUUUCUUAGCAUAAGAGGUGACCACCCAAGUCCUCUGCAGCUACAUUACUCUUCCUUGUAACACAGAGUAUGAUGCUGAUGAUAAACCCCAAGAAGAAACUGUCAACCCUAUGGUCGAUGGUGGGACUGAAGAUUUUCAAGGACAUGCCAGGGUCAUUAUGCCAGGGAUCAGUCCAUGCAUGCUUUGAGUGUACAAUCUGGCUUUUCCCCCCUCAAGUGAAGUUCCCUUUAUGCACACUUGCAGAAAUCCCUAGAACUGCUGCUCAUUGUAUUGAAUAUGCUCACCUAAUUAAAUGGGAUGAGGUACAUAGCGGAGAGGCUUUUGAUCCAGAUGACCCUGAACAUAUAAAGUGGGUGUAUGAUGAGGUCAAUUAUGGCAAUUAUUUAGUGAUUUAUCUGUUCCUUUUAUGGACCUUUAAUUAUGUUCCUUUCAUUUAUUUAUUUAUUUACUAAUUUGUUUUUUGUUCCCAUCCAAUAGUCUAACAAGAGAGCUGAGCUGUUUGGUAUUCAAGAGUUACAUUGUCUCUCACUCAGGUAUACAUACUUAUAGAAGUAGUUACCCCUAUUAUUAUUUUCGUCAAGUUUCUCUGCAACAUAACUGCAUAGUUUGGCUUUUGCUGUUAAAUCAUGUGGAUGAGAAAAGGAUUUAGGACUUUGAAACUAUGGGUAACUAAGCUUUUGGCUUACAUCUUUUGAACUUUUAUCUGUCACUCUUGUUGGAAGCUGAUUAUGUUGUCUAAAUGGGGUUCUGAAGAACAUCAUACAGGCUAUUGCUUCCACAAAUGCUAUUAUAUCAGCUACCUGUGCGCUACAAUAUUGAAGAUUGCAUCUGGAUGCAGUAAAACUCUAUCGAACUAUCUAACGUGUGUUCCUCUUUCUCAUCAAUAACUACACUAAAUAUCCUUAGAAAUCCUUUCCUAGAUGUCAUAAACCAUUUUUUGGUUGCAUAACAGAUGCAUUGGAUUAUCAUUUUCUAUGUAUGAGCACAACAUUAGAUCCAAUCGUUUACUUGUUUGGGAAGGCAGUAUAACACUCUAUCUCUAUUAGAAAUACUUAGCACACCUAUUAUUAUACUAGCAGAACAUAUUCUAGGUCCUGGCACAAAGGAAAUCAGAAGUGGAAAUACUUCCAGUUGUGUGUCUAAUUUCUGUUCACAGUUCUGAUCUUAUUUGUUCCUCCAAUUUCUUAUUCGUACCUAAUAGCAAGUGUGGUCUCUGCAUGUUAAUAUGAAGUGUUGGUGCAAAAGGUGAGAAUUCUCACUAAGGAAUCAAUUCCCACCAAGUUUUCGUAAUCUGUAUGUGUCAUAUAUAAGCAGUUAGUUAUUCCAUUCUAAUGAAAAAAUGUUUGAUUCACCAUUGCAUUCCAACCUCAUUUAUGCCGCCUCUAUGGACGAUUUAUCUCAGUUAAAUAUUGAUAGAAGCAUUUUUAUACAACAUUUUAAUAAUUAUUUCCUCAUAUUUUACUUAGUUAUUUCCUUAAAUAAAUAAAUUUUAAUUUAAUU
Molecule: RNA transcript, 2101 nt
Organism: Rosa chinensis
Lineage: Eukaryota; Viridiplantae; Streptophyta; Magnoliopsida; Rosales; Rosaceae
Gene name: NEDD8-activating enzyme E1 catalytic subunit-like
Exons: 7
Source: RefSeq, a predicted model, not a curated record